Molecule: ribosomal RNA, 468 nt
Filed under: uncultured bacterium
Lineage: Bacteria
Description: partial 16S ribosomal RNA
Rfam family: Bacterial small subunit ribosomal RNA
Source: RNAcentral
GACGAACGCUGGCGGCGUGCUUAACACAUGCAAGUCGAACGGAAAGGCCCUGCUUUUGUGGGGUGCUCGAGUGGCGAACGGGUGAGUAACACGUGAGUAACCUGCCCUUGACUUUGGGAUAACUUCAGGAAACUGGGGCUAAUACCGGAUAGGAGCUCCUGCUGCAUGGUGGGGGUUGGAAAGUUUCGGAGGUUGGGGAUGGACUCGCGGCUUAUCAGCUUGUUGGUGGGGUAGUGGCUUACCAAGGCUUUGCCGGGUAGCCGGCCUGAGAGGGUGACCGGCCACAUUGGGACUGAGAUACGGCCCAGACUCCUACGGGAGGCAGCAGUGGGGAAUAUUGCACAAUGGGCGGAAGCCUGAUGCAGCAACGCCGCAUGCGGGAUGACGGCCUUCGGGUUGUAAACCGCUUUCGCCUGUGACGAAGCGUGAGUGACGGUAAUGGGUAAAGAAGCACCGGCUAACUACGUG